Molecule: ribosomal RNA, 2927 nt
Filed under: Paenibacillus sp. N3/727
Lineage: Bacteria; Bacillati; Bacillota; Bacilli; Caryophanales; Paenibacillaceae
Description: 23S ribosomal RNA
Rfam family: Bacterial large subunit ribosomal RNA
Source: RNAcentral
GGUUAAGCUACUAAGAGCACACGGAGGAUGCCUAGGCGCUAGGAGCCGAUGAAGGACGUGGCGAACAACGAAACUGCCUCGGGGAGCUGUAAGCAAGCUUUGAUCCGGGGGUGUCCGAAUGGGGAAACCCGGCUGUGGUAAUACGCAGUCACCGCUGCCUGAAUAUAUAGGGCAGUGGGAGGCAUACCAGGGGAACUGAAACAUCUAAGUACCCUGAGGAAGAGAAAACAAGAGUGAUUCCGUCAGUAGCGGCGAGCGAACGCGGAACAGCCUAAACCAGAGAGCUUGCUCUCUGGGGUUGUGGGACGUCUCACAUGGAGUUACAAAGGAACAGAUUAGACGAAGAGGUCUGGAAAGGCCCGCCAGAGAAGGUAAAAGCCCUGUAAUUGAAAGUGUGUUCCCUCCGAGACGGAUCCCGAGUAGUGCGGGGCACGUGAAACCCCGUAUGAAUCUGCCAGGACCAUCUGGUAAGGCUAAAUACUCCCUAGCGACCGAUAGUGAAGCAGUACCGUGAGGGAAAGGUGAAAAGCACCCCGGAAGGGGAGUGAAAUAGAACCUGAAACCGUGUGCUUACAAAAAGUCAGAGCCCGAUCUAUGGGUGAUGGCGUGCCUUUUGUAGAAUGAACCGGCGAGUUACGUUCCCAUGCAAGGUUAAGGCGAGAAGCUGUAGCCGUAGCGAAAGCGAGUCUGAAUAGGGCGCUUAAGUAUGUGGACGUAGACCCGAAACCGUGUGAUCUACCCCUGUCCAGGGUGAAGGUGCGGUAACACGCACUGGAGGCCCGAACCCACGUAUGUUGAAAAAUGCGGGGAUGAGGUGGGGGUAGCGGAGAAAUUCCAAUCGAACUCGGAGAUAGCUGGUUCUCCCCGAAAUAGCUUUAGGGCUAGCCUCGGAAUUAGAGUCGUGGAGGUAGAGCACUGAUUGGGUGCGGGGCCCGCAAGGGUUACCAAGCUCAGUCAAACUCCGAAUGCCAUAGACUUAUAUCCGGGAGUCAGACAGUGAGUGCUAAGAUCCAUUGUCAAGAGGGAAACAGCCCAGACCAUCAGCUAAGGUCCCCAAGUGUGUGUUAAGUGGGAAAGGAUGUGGAGUUGCACAGACAACCAGGAUGUUGGCUUAGAAGCAGCCACCAUUUAAAGAGUGCGUAAUAGCUCACUGGUCGAGUGACUCUGCGCCGAAAAUGUAACGGGGCUAAACACACCACCGAAGCUAUGGCUUGAUGCUUUUGCAUCAGGGGUAGGGGAGCGUUGUAUGUAGGUUGAAGGUGUACCGUAAGGAGCGCUGGACAGCAUACAAGUGAGAAUGCCGGUAUGAGUAACGAAAAGAUCAGUGAGAAUCUGAUCCGCCGAAAGCCCAAGGUUUCCUGAGGAAGGUUCGUCCGCUCAGGGUAAGUCGGGACCUAAGGUGAGGCCGAAAGGCGUAAUCGAAGGACAACAGGUUGAAAUUCCUGUACCACCGUAAACCGUUAUGAACGAUGGGGUGACGCAGGAGGGUAGUGACGCGGACUGAUGGAUGUCCGUCCAAGCAGUGAGGCUGAUGUGUAGGCAAAUCCGCACAUCGAUAAGGCUGGGCUGUGAUGGGGAGUGAAAAUUAUAGUAGCGAAGGUCAUGAUCUCACACUGCCAAGAAAAGCCUCUAGUCAGGUGAAGGUGCCCGUACCGCAAACCGACACAGGUAGGCGAGAAGAGAAUUCUAAGGCGCGCGGAAGAACUCUCGUUAAGGAACUCGGCAAAAUGACCCCGUAACUUCGGGAGAAGGGGUGCCCCGGUAGUGUGAAUAGCACGAGGGGGCCGCAGUGAAAAGGCCCAAGCGACUGUUUAACAAAAACACAGGUCUGUGCGAAGCCGUAAGGCGAAGUAUACGGGCUGACGCCUGCCCGGUGCUGGAAGGUUAAGGGGAGUGGUUAGGAGCAAUCCGAAGCUAUGAACCGAAGCCCCAGUAAACGGCGGCCGUAACUAUAACGGUCCUAAGGUAGCGAAAUUCCUUGUCAGGUAAAUUCUGACCCGCACGAAUGGCGUAACGAUUUGGGCGCUGUCUCAACGAGAGAUCCGGUGAAAUUUUAAUACCUGUGAAGAUGCAGGUUACCCGCGACAAGACGGAAAGACCCCAUGGAGCUUUACUGCAGCUUGAUAUUGGAUUUGGGUACGAUCUGUACAGGAUAGGUGGGAGCCUAAGAAACAGGAGCGCAAGCUUCUGUGGAGGCGCCGUUGGGAUACCACCCUGAUCGUAUCUAGGUUCUAACCUAGUACCGUGAACCGGUGCGGGGACAGUGUCUGGUGGGCAGUUUGACUGGGGCGGUCGCCUCCUAAAGAGUAACGGAGGCGCCCCAAGGUUCCCUCAGAAUGGUUGGAAAUCAUUCGAAGAGUGCAAAGGCAUAAGGGAGCUUGACUGCGAGACCUACAAGUCGAGCAGGGACGAAAGUCGGGCUUAGUGAUCCGGUGGUACCGCAUGGAAGGGCCAUCGCUCAACGGAUAAAAGCUACCCUGGGGAUAACAGGCUUAUCUCCCCCAAGAGUCCACAUCGACGGGGAGGUUUGGCACCUCGAUGUCGGCUCAUCGCAUCCUGGGGCUGAAGUAGGUCCCAAGGGUUGGGCUGUUCGCCCAUUAAAGCGGUACGCGAGCUGGGUUCAGAACGUCGUGAGACAGUUCGGUCCCUAUCUGUCGUGGGCGUAGGAAAUUUGAGAGGAGCUGUCCUUAGUACGAGAGGACCGGGAUGGACGUACCGCUGGUGCACCAGUUGUUCCGCCAGGAGCAUGGCUGGGUAGCUACGUACGGAAGGGAUAAGCGCUGAAAGCAUCUAAGCGUGAAGCCCCCCUCAAGAUGAGAUUUCCCAACUAGUAAGACCCCUUGAAGACGACGAGGUAGAUAGGUUGGAGGUGGAAGUGCAGCAAUGCAUGGAGCUGACCAAUACUAAUCGGUCGAGGGCUUAUCCUA